Molecule: ribosomal RNA, 251 nt
Filed under: uncultured prokaryote
Description: partial 16S rRNA
Rfam family: Bacterial small subunit ribosomal RNA
Source: RNAcentral
ACGGGGGGGGCAAGCGUUGUUCGGAAUUAUUGGGCGUAAAGAGCGUGUAGGCGGCUGAAUAAGUCAGAUGUGAAAUCCCUGGGCUUAACCCAGGACGUGCAUUUGAAACUAUUCAGCUUGAGUAGGGGAGAGGAAAGUGGAAUUCCUGGUGUAGAGGUGAAAUCCGUAGAUAUCUGGAGGAACACCGGUGGCGAAGGCGACUCUCUGGCCCUAUUCUGACGCUGAGACGCGAGAGCGUGGGUAGCAAACAG